AACGAACGCUGGCGGCAUGCCUAACACAUGCAAGUCGAACGAGACCUUCGGGUCUAGUGGCGCACGGGUGCGUAACGCGUGGGAACCUGCCCUUAGGUUCGGAAUAACUCCCCGAAAGGGGUGCUAAUACCGGAUAAUGUCUUCGGACCAAAGAUUUAUCGCCUUUGGAUGGGCCCGCGUUGGAUUAGCUAGUUGGUAGGGUAAAAGCCUACCAAGGCGACGAUCCAUAGCUGGUCUGAGAGGAUGAUCAGCCACACUGGGACUGAGACACGGCCCAGACUCCUACGGGAGGCAGCAGUGGGGAAUAUUGGAAAAUGGGCGAAAGCCUGAUCCAGCAAGGCCGCGUGAGUGAUGAAGGCCUUAGGGUUGUAAAGCUCUUUUACCCGGGAUGAUAAUGACAGUACCGGGAGAAGAAGCUCCGGCUAACUCCGU
This 432-nucleotide ribosomal RNA is filed under the name uncultured bacterium. RNAcentral describes it as "partial 16S ribosomal RNA". It matches the Rfam family "Bacterial small subunit ribosomal RNA", at positions 29 to 506 of the family's 1533-position model. The record is from RNAcentral.